This 1220-nucleotide long non-coding RNA is filed under the name Equus caballus (horse). Its description in RNAcentral is "lncRNA (ENSECAG00000057238.1)". The record is from RNAcentral. Lineage: Eukaryota; Metazoa; Chordata; Mammalia; Perissodactyla; Equidae.
CGCGAUACUUCUAAAAACAAGAUAAUGCUUCUGAAUUGCGGAAGAAAGUACUGCGGACAAAUUGGGCGCGGAGCGGCCGAGAUGGAUCGCUUUGUUAGGGGCGGCCCGUGGUUUGUGACUCAAUUAGUGCAUUUCUGGGAGCUGCCCGCCCUCUGCAGCCCGGUCAGCUCGAGGCGAACUCCCCCUGUGGCUCCCGGGCGCCGGCAGGGCGUGGGGGAGCACUUCGGGCCUGUACCUAUGUCGGUGCAAAGCCACGCCGCGGGAAAUGUUUUUGUAUUCCCACACGAGUACAUUGCUCGGGUUCUAAAGGAUCCAGAUUUUCGCGGACAGAAGCUUGACUGCCUCUGCUCCGAUAAACACACACCUGGGCUCCUAAAAGUCUGAUAUUCUUUAUAAAAAAAAAUAGAACUUCAAUGGAUGUCUCUUGAGAAUUUCCCUUUAAAACAGAUGAAAGGCAAGAGCGUUUGAAAAUGAGAUCAUGGAAACACAGACACCAGACUCUUUGCUAUUGGAAGAAGCCAAGAGGUCAUCAGUUGAACCUGCCACUCUAAGCAGAAUCUCUCAGAAAACGUGCUUGAUGGGACAGCCCUAGCUUGGCUUAACCACUCGAGCAUAGGAGAACUCACUACCUCACAUCUGUUUUGCAUGUUUCAAGACUCACCAAAACAGGAAAGGUGUACAUGGCGGAAACAAAGUCACGUGGCAUCCAUGGUCCUGUACAAACUAGAUAAAACGUGAGAGAAACACGGAGUGGAUCUUCUUAUUACUUAUUGGUCAAGCAGAAAGUUAGAGUAAACUGUACUAGCUAAACUGCUUUCUCAAGUUUCCAUUUUAGGCAUUUCUACUGUUUGCCCACUGCCUAGUAGGCUGCCGGAGUUCACUAUAGGAAAAGUAAAUAUUGUCAUUUCAAAUAAAGAACUGUUUAUUAUAUAACAGAACAGAGGCUGCCUUCUAUUUUUGAGACUCUGCUAAGUUAAUUGGGGACAGUAGCCAAAGCAGCUGCCCAGGAGAUGGUGUUUUCCAAUAGCUACAAUCCUUAAAGCUAAACUGGCUUCAUGUUUGUCUACAAAGUGGCAAUCGCAUUGCUUUCUUCAUUGAAUGUUCUUUGGCUCCUGUUUGGGUGGGUAAAUGGGGGCACCAUUUGUACUACUUUACCAGCCCGUUUGACUCCUACAGUGAGGGCAAACCAUAAGCCAAGACACAUCAAAGCUAAACCUGAU